This 106-nucleotide ribosomal RNA is filed under the name Danio rerio (zebrafish). Lineage: Eukaryota; Metazoa; Chordata; Actinopteri; Cypriniformes; Danionidae. The record is from RNAcentral.
AUCCACAGCCAUAUCACCCUGCAGCCCGAGACCAGUUACUCACAGGGCUGAGACUGGUCAGUACCUGAAUGGGAGACCACAUGAGAAAACUAGGUUGCUGUUGGAA